Molecule: long non-coding RNA, 273 nt
Filed under: Trifolium pratense (red clover)
Lineage: Eukaryota; Viridiplantae; Streptophyta; Magnoliopsida; Fabales; Fabaceae
Description: long non-coding RNA (TPRA_LNC011275)
Source: RNAcentral
AUCAAUACUCUCGCACGUGACUUAACUCGAAAUCAUUACAACACUAAUGAAGGAUUAUAAAGCAUUAAACAUGGAAUUGCAUUAAAUCAACACUAUGAACAGAGUAGUUUCUUACACAUAUAGCAGAUUACAUGAGGUCUAUCUACAUCCUAGGCUACCCUAGAUCCUACCUCCGAAGAACUUAGCUCCUCAUCUCCCUUUGUUCGCGUCCGAGCUUCAAUGUCAUGGCUUGUGAAUCCAUGCUAUCGAUGUGCUUGGAGCUGUCCUCUGGAG